Molecule: long non-coding RNA, 341 nt
Organism: Marmota flaviventris (yellow-bellied marmot)
Lineage: Eukaryota; Metazoa; Chordata; Mammalia; Rodentia; Sciuridae
Source: RefSeq, a predicted model, not a curated record
GCUCUUGGGUAAAUGCCAAACUCCCAAGGAAGCCGCGGAGGCCCGGCUGGGUACUCUGCCUGCAGAGGUGGGGCCUGGGAACCAGGAAGAUGGAGAAGAAGAAUCGCACUGGGGGACACUGACCUGAUCCCUCAGAGUCGAUUGGGACACCUGGAAAGGGAAGUGGCUGUCCAGGAGGCCAGCAAACACAAGGCUGAAAAAUCAAGGGCCCAUAAGCUCAUAAUGAAGACAGUCCAUAGGGCAAAUGUGACUGGAAAUGGGGCCCUGCAAGAUCAAGACUUAUUAUACGAAACCUCCUUAAUAAAUGGGUGAUUAUCCCAGGGCUUCUCCACUGAACAGCA